AGGAGGCUAGUCUAAAGAAGACCUCUGAUUUCGGCUCAGAAAAUUGUGGUUCAAGUCCACGGCCCCCUU
RNAcentral lists this transfer RNA (69 nucleotides) under Notropis buchanani (ghost shiner). RNAcentral's name for it is "tRNA-Arg". It matches the Rfam family "tRNA". Rfam says of the family: Transfer RNA (tRNA) molecules are approximately 80 nucleotides in length. Their secondary structure includes four short double-helical elements and three loops (D, anti-codon, and T loops). Further hydrogen bonds mediate the characteristic L-shaped molecular structure. tRNAs have two regions of fundamental functional importance: the anti-codon, which is responsible for specific mRNA codon recognition, and the 3' end, to which the tRNAs corresponding amino acid is attached (by aminoacyl-tRNA synthetases). tRNAs cope with the degeneracy of the genetic code in two manners: having more than one tRNA (with a specific anti-codon) for a particular amino acid; and 'wobble' base-pairing, i.e. permitting non-standard base-pairing at the 3rd anti-codon position. RNAcentral also lists the same sequence under 1 other name. The record is from RNAcentral. Lineage: Eukaryota; Metazoa; Chordata; Actinopteri; Cypriniformes; Leuciscidae.